UUAUUGCUGAAGAGUCCCAAACUAGGACGAAACAGCUGUCCAGUAC
Trichobilharzia regenti is the source of this 46-nucleotide non-coding RNA. The record is from Rfam. NCBI's taxonomy places the organism in Eukaryota, Metazoa, Platyhelminthes, Trematoda, Strigeidida, Schistosomatidae.